RNAcentral lists this ribosomal RNA (472 nucleotides) under uncultured bacterium. RNAcentral describes it as "bacterial SSU rRNA". It matches the Rfam family "Bacterial small subunit ribosomal RNA", at positions 355 to 825 of the family's 1533-position model. The record is from RNAcentral.
UCGGGAAUUUUGGGCAAUGGGGGAAACCCUGACCCAGCAACGCCGCGUGAGUGAAGAAGGCCUUCGGGUUGUAAAGCUCUUUUGUCAGGGAAGAAACGGUAGUAGCGAAUAACUAUUACUAAUGACGGUACCUGAAGAAUAAGCACCGGCUAACUACGUGCCAGCAGCCGCGGUAAUACGUAGGGUGCAAGCGUUAAUCGGAAUUACUGGGCGUAAAGCGUGCGCAGGCGGUUGUGUAAGUCAGAUGUGAAAUCUCCGGGCUUAACUCGGAACGGCCAAGUGAUACUGCAAAGCUAGAGUGCAGAAGGGGCAAUCGGAAUUCUUGGUGUAGCGGUGAAAUGCGUAGAUAUCAAGAGGAACACCUGAGGUGAAGACGGGUUGCUGGGCUGACACUGACGCUGAGGCGCGAAAGCCAGGGGAGCAAACGGGAUUAGAUACCCACGUAGUCCCUGAGCGGGCUGGCAAGGCGCAU